This is a long non-coding RNA of Esox lucius (northern pike), 2921 nucleotides long. NCBI's taxonomy places the organism in Eukaryota, Metazoa, Chordata, Actinopteri, Esociformes, Esocidae. The record is from Ensembl.
AAAGAGGGAGAGAAAUUCAAAGUGAUCACAGGAGACACCAUUUCAAGAUCACUAAGAAAAACACAACAUCUUACAAAAAAAUAACAGGUUUCCUUUAAUAAUAUCUGGAACAUGAUAUCAUGGUUGUUGUUUUUUUUUGUUUUUUUCUUCAACAUGUCCUGCUUGUAACAUCUUCAUUAGUAUGCUUUUUGUUUCCAUAAACAUUGAAUUGAUAACAUUAAACUGUGACACAAACUGCAUGGUACUAUUGCACACAUACAUCGAGUAGGGCACAAAUGGUGUAGCAGCAAUAAACGUAUCAGUGUUAUACACAUUACAAUCAAUUCUAAUUAUAGUAGUCUGUAACUUGGGAGUAUAGUUGAAAUGAAUUACAAGACAUUCUAAAGUAUCCUCUACAUCAUACACAAGAUUGUGUUCGGCUAUAUGACAUCGUUAAGUCAUCGUUAUGUACUUUCAGUCAGGGUCUACCUGCUAUAGCUAAGUACUAAGACACUGGGGGCUAGAAUAGAUCUACAUGUACAGUAUUCAGUAUAUAGGGUCCACUUUCAUAGGUCUACAACACAUUGGCUUAGGGAAGACUAGGUUCGUGCAGACAAGAGCAACCAGGACAUUCAUAUUGGAAAUGUCAUGGACAUCAGUAGUAUAUUAUUGCAUGAAUGGAGCUCAAUUAGCAUUUAAUCAUCCCUUCUACUCUUCACUUUCUUUUCUUUGGGCCAACACUCAGUGACACAAUUAUGCUUUGCUAAAUAUAUCACAGGGGUUUUGAACUGGUUUUCAUCGGCCAUCAUUCACAGGGGAGGAGCUCACGGAAGCUUCUAGUUUUAGGGAGGGGUGAGGGGAUGAAUACUCAAUAGGGCGGCACAGUGUUUGGUCUAACUUCACAAGGGACCAGCCUCAGAGCUGGAAUUCAAACCCACUUUUAACAUACAGCUCACAAGUCCCUCAGCCGUGUCUGUUAACAGGCCGACUUCAGGAAGAACACUGAUAUGACGUCAGAUACUUUCCUCCCUUUAUUUUGGACAGGAAUGUGCUACUUCAGCUUACUCAUAGGCAAAUCUCAAUCUCAUACUUAGUAGCUUAAUGAAAAUAUGCGUUGUUUUAUUAUCCUUUUGAAAUAAAAGGGCAGUAUAAAAAGGAAUGUCAGUGAAAUGAACACUUGGAAUGUGCUGCUCAUUCUGGACUUUUGACAUUAUAAGGGUUCUAGAGAGGUAGAGCAUAGAUGAUAAGAAAAAAUGAAGACAUUUUCAUUAAUCAAAUGUAGUGUUAUAGGGUUCCUGCAGUUUUCUUACUCUACACAGCUCUUUGCAUCCCUUAUAGGGAGAGCCCACCUCCCUGAUUCAGACAGAGCCCACCUCCCUGAUUCAGACAGAACACAUCUCCUUGAUUCAGCAGUGACCACCUCCCUGAUUCAGACAGAACACAUCUCCCUGAUUCAGCAGUGCCCACCUACCUGAUUCAGACAGAACACAUCUCCUUGAUUCAGACAGAGCCCACCUCCCUGAUUCAGCAGUGCCUGGCUCCCUGAUUCAACCUGAUGGCUACCCAAAGUAAAUAGACCUGUAACUGUAUCUGUAGCCUGCCAUGCUAAUGGACAAGCUGUUUAAACACUGAUCAUUUCUGAAACAGUCAUGGACCACGGUUAUGGACCAAGUCACAUUUCAACAGCAACAAAAUCUAUUGGCGUAGGAGAUGUGUAUGAUUCUAUCAGAAAUAAAUACAAUCCAGACACUUCUGCCAUAAUUGCUUCAACAUAAACAGCAUAAAUACCAUUAAUGUAUGUAUUAGCUCAGGUUAUUCUAAGUGCCGUAGAUUUUUUCUAGUGAUUCGUUUUAGCUACACUUUAUGAUGUUUAUUAUGUCCUAUUUUAUGGCUACCGCGAACUCUCUCCCUGUUUUAAAUUCAACACAGUUGGCUAUAUGUUUGGCCACCUCAUGUGUGUACAGUGGUAUUACUUGGCCACCCAGCACAGCUCUUUAUGUAGACGGAUUAAGGAUAAGCAAAAACAAAACAAAGAAACAUUCCACAAUAUAGAACUAUGAAGUACACAAAAUGAUGGCCACAUAAAACAAAGUAUGCAAAUAAAAUAAAAUAGAAAAAAAGUAGAAAAAACAUGGAUAUUUUUACUAUUUAUAUUGCAUGUACAAGAAAAGCUUAUAGACACCUGCAUGGAUUUCUAAUUGGAAAUGUGUGUAUGUAUGUAUGUGUGUGUGUGUGUGUGUGUGUGAAUCAGAGGUCAUUGGCAGCCUAACUCUAUGAAGAAAAGGGUCCUAUUUGUGUCCUUGAGUCUCGAAGCACAUGAUGACCUUUGUAAUGUUUCGAAGCCUAUUUGAAUGUAAAUUUGAUUUGUGGAUUCAAAUAAAGCAUUUAAAAUGUGUGUGUGUGUGUGUGUGUGUGUGGGUGUGAACCCAUGGACCGUAGCCAGACCUCAUUAUUGUAAUUCUCCUCACUGGCCCACUAGUGUGAACAGCCCUUUCACUUCGGCCCGGAGAAAUGGAGACAAAAAAACAAAUACAACAAAUGACAAAACCCCCCUGAGUGGUCCGGCCUGUGACCAUAUGCUAACGGGGCAGAAAAACCCAUCUGAGCACUCCACAGACCAGUCAGUCCUGCUAUUCAACUCACCCAGCUAUUGGUCCAUGAGUGUACAGCCUGAUGGCUUAUUACAACCUAACAAAUGGCCGGUACUGCAUGCGCGCGUGUCUUUUCUUAGCAAGACCAUGGAAUCGUUCUCCUAACCGAGACAACCCCCACCAUAUGAAGAUAACCCUCGUUGUCUAUUUUUUUUGUUUUUUGAAAAAACGGUUCUACUGCAGUUUUACGAGCGACACUGACCCGUCAUGUCUCAGGGAAAGACAAGCAGAGAUGUUCCCUCUGAUCUGUGAUCCGUGUCUUUAGUCUCUUCGUCUCCCAGUCCUACAGAC